AAGAUCAGGAAAUAUUUUUGUUUUUUUUGGACACAUAUUUAACCCCUUAUUUUUGUUGGCACAAAACGACCUCCAUACUUCCAGACCAGUCCCGUCACACUUGUGGGGGUUGUAGAGAGUCUUGUAGAGAGUCGUGUAGAGAGUCUUGUUCAUGAGAGGCUCCUUUCCAUAGAGUGGUCAGAAUCAUUUCUAGGCCAAACAUUUCCAGACGCUACAGACUUUUUUGUGAGAAUAAUUUUUUUUUCUUUUUAGGAUGUCUCAUGGUCUGACAAACAUCGCUGUAGCUCAGGACACCUUCCACAGCAGACGCAUGGGGAAGAUGGGCGACACCUGGAGGGGGCUGGAGACAAUCACAAAGACAGAUGAAACAGAUCAGGGUGUGACACUUUGAAAGUUUCCAGUAAAGCACCCUCCCUUUGCAACCCCUUAGCUGGACCAGAUCACCAUGGUACCCAGAUGGACCGUUGUGAAGACAUUGAGUUUGAUGCGAUCACCCCGAACGCCAAGAGAAUCACCUACUUCUUCAAGGGACAACAAGGUGUUCAGCUACCACGAGCGUAGCCAUGUCCUGGUGGAGGGCUUCCCCAAGGACAUCUCUGAGGUGUUCCCUGGUUUCCCUGACCACCUGGAUGCUGCUGUGGUGUGUCCCAAGGGAGAUUGUCGCUGAGACUCUGUCAUAUUCUUCAAGGGGCAUGGCAUGCUCCACUUUGACACCUACACUAAGAAGGUAAAGGCUAGCCAGUGGACCCACCUCCCCAACUUCACCUCGGCCCUUCGCUGGUCGGAUCACUACUACUGUUUCCAUGGGCACGAACGUUAGUCAGUCACACAAGAUAUCGCUGGAGAUGUUUGGCUGUGGACACCAUGGGGCGAACGUUAGUCAGUCACACAAGAUAUCGCUGGAGAUGUUUGGCUGUGGACACCAUGGGGCGAACGUUAGUCAGUCACACAAGAUAUCGCUGGAGAUGUUUGGCUGUGGACACCAUGGGGCGAACAUUAGUCAGUCACACAAGAUAUCGCUGGAGAUGUUUGGCUGUGGACACCAUGGGGCGAACAUUAGUCAGUCACACAAGAUAUCGCUGGAGAUGUUUGGCUGUGGACACCAUGGGGCGAACAUUAGUCAGUCACACAAGAUAUCGCUGGAGAUGUUUGGCUGUGGACACCAUGGGACGAACUUUAGUCAGUCACACAAGAUAUCGCUGGAGAUGUUUGGCUGUGGACACCAUGGGACCAACGUUAGUCAGUCACACAAGAUAUCGCUGGAGAUGUUUGGCUGUGGACACCAUGGGACCAACGUUAGUCAGUCACUGACUACGCACGCCCCAAAUCCUCUAACUUCCGAUCCAUGCUGUUAACUCUGACUUUUGCCUUAUACCUUCAGUAGCCCUUUCCAGUAGUCAAAUGACCUAGUGG
Molecule: long non-coding RNA, 1413 nt
Organism: Oncorhynchus kisutch (coho salmon)
Lineage: Eukaryota; Metazoa; Chordata; Actinopteri; Salmoniformes; Salmonidae
Exons: 3
Source: RefSeq, a predicted model, not a curated record